Molecule: ribosomal RNA, 490 nt
Filed under: Dichaetophora cyanea
Lineage: Eukaryota; Metazoa; Arthropoda; Insecta; Diptera; Drosophilidae
Description: partial 28S ribosomal RNA
Rfam family: Eukaryotic large subunit ribosomal RNA
Source: RNAcentral
UUUGUGUGAACAGUGGUUGAUCACGAGUUAGUCGGUCCUAAGUUCAAGGCGAAAGCCGAAAAUUUUCAAGUAAAAAUUAAGUAAUUAUGUACCAAUAUAUAUUCAAUUAUAUAUGCAAAUAAAUGUUAAUAUUUUAUACACUUGAAUAAUUUUGAACGAAAGGGAAUACGGUUCCAAUUCCGUAACCUGUUGAGUAUCCGUUUGUUAUUAAAUAUGGGCCUCGUGCUCAUCCUGGUAACAGGAACGACCAUAAAGAAGCCGUCGAGAGAUAUCGGAAGAGUUUUCUUUUCUGUUUUAUAGCCGUACUACCAUGGAAGUCUUUCGCAGAGAGAUAUGGUAGAUGGGCUAGAAGAGCAUGACAUAUACUGUUGUGUCGAUAUUUUCUCCUCGGACCUUGAAAAUUUAUGGUGGGGAUACGCAAACUUCUCAACAGGCCGUACCAAUAUCCGCAGCUGGUCUCCAAGGUGAAGAGUCUCUAGUCGAUAGAAUA